RNAcentral lists this ribosomal RNA (501 nucleotides) under uncultured bacterium. Its description in RNAcentral is "partial 16S ribosomal RNA". It matches the Rfam family "Bacterial small subunit ribosomal RNA", at positions 29 to 523 of the family's 1533-position model. The record is from RNAcentral.
AUUGAACGCUGGCGGCAUGCCUUACACAUGCAAGUCGAACGGCAGCACGGGUGCUUGCACCUGGUGGCGAGUGGCGAACGGGUGAGUAAUACAUCGGAACGUACCUUAUCGUGGGGGAUAACGCAGCGAAAGCUGUGCUAAUACCGCAUACGCCCUGAGGGGGAAAGCGGGGGAUCGCAAGACCUCGCGCGAUUAGAGCGGCCGAUGCCUGAUUAGCUUGUUGGUGGGGUAAAAGCCCACCAAGGCGACGAUCAGUAGCUGGUCUGGGAGGACGAGCAGCCACACUGGGACUGAGACACGGCCCAGACUCCUACGGGAGGCAGCAGUGGGGAAUUUUGGACAAUGGGGGCAACCCUGAUCCAGCAAUGCCGCGUGAGUGAAGAAGGCCUUCGGGUUGUAAAGCUCUUUUGUCAGGGAAGAAACACCGGCUCUAACACAGUCCGGGAAUGACGGUACCUGAAGAAUAAGCACCGGCUAACUACGUGCCAGCAGCCGCCGCCG